UUGUGUUCCCACAUCAUUUCCCUGCCCAGUGACGAUAUUUAUAACAUAUUAGAAAGCAUAUUAUGACAAUGCCACAAGACAAAUAAACUAUGACAGGACAUAAGGUUUAUAUAAUAAUAGUAUUUUCUAUGGUACCAUGAUUGUGCACAUAUACAUAGCAUCAGUUUUAAAACUUGGUAAUAAUAUAAUAAUCUAUCACCAAAAUAAGAGCAGAAAGAGGGCUUGCCAUGCCUACAGAUUCAGAUACAUAUGACAGAUGUCAUAUUUUCCAACAAAGCCAAGUGACCAUUCUUGUUAGUCCCCAUUGAACUGAAACCUGUUGCCAAAAGUUAAAGAUAGACCCUACAAAAUGAUGUAACCGAUAAAGUUCAUCUUGGGAACCAAAUCUCAAAUUUUUGUCAUAUCCUUAUUGGUUUGUAUUUAAUUCACAUGAAUAAAUUUUGAGGUGCCUUCCAACCAUGUUUACAAUUUGGAACAAAUCAACCCAGCCAGAAAGCCACAGUAAUUAAAAAAAGGAGAAAAUAGAGCAACUUACGAACCCAAUUCCUAUCCAGAUGUCUUCACAGUUUAAUUAGUAUCUGAAAUAUCAAGGAGCUAUGCUAAAAAGAAAACAUGACAACUCAAGAAAAAUGGAGAAGUCAAGGAAGUGAAGCACAUGACAAUAAGGUGUUGAGAUUGUGGUUCGUAUUCAGAGAAAUGUUGUAUGCUAAACAGUGUUGUUAAAGGCGAGAGGAGGCGCUGGGCGAGGGGAGAGGCGAGGCGAAGCUCCAGCGACUCCCCAGGCCAAGGCGAGGCCACUUAAACAAGGCGGACGCCCUGGACCCGAAAGGCGACAGGUGACAAGGCCUUGAGGUGCCGCCUUGUGAAAGAAACGGAAAUUUUGUUUUUUUUUUCUUAACAGUCAAAAAAUAAAAAGAAGCCCCAAUCUAUCGUGACUUACGUUCAGUCCACCUACCCAGCAGUUUGAAGAAG
RNAcentral lists this unclassified non-coding RNA (972 nucleotides) under Hevea brasiliensis (rubber tree). Lineage: Eukaryota; Viridiplantae; Streptophyta; Magnoliopsida; Malpighiales; Euphorbiaceae. The record is from RNAcentral.